Molecule: microRNA, 23 nt
Filed under: Equus caballus (horse)
Lineage: Eukaryota; Metazoa; Chordata; Mammalia; Perissodactyla; Equidae
Description: eca-miR-9172
Source: miRBase by way of RNAcentral
GCUCUGGACUCUGCGUAUAACAG